RNAcentral lists this non-coding RNA (75 nucleotides) under Actinotalea fermentans. RNAcentral describes it as "c-di-GMP sequence". It matches the Rfam family "c-di-GMP-I-GGC riboswitch aptamer". The record is from Rfam by way of RNAcentral. Lineage: Bacteria; Bacillati; Actinomycetota; Actinomycetes; Micrococcales; Cellulomonadaceae.
AGCGAUAACGGCAAACCCACCGCGAGGUGGGGACGCAAAGCCACGGGACUCACGUAGUCAGCCGGGCUACCGAAC